RNAcentral lists this ribosomal RNA (447 nucleotides) under uncultured bacterium. RNAcentral's name for it is "bacterial SSU rRNA". It matches the Rfam family "Bacterial small subunit ribosomal RNA", at positions 355 to 825 of the family's 1533-position model. The record is from RNAcentral.
UCGGGAAUUUUGUGCAAUGGGCGAAAGCCUGACACAGCAACGCCGCGUGAAGGAUGAAGUCCCUCGGGAUGUAAACUUCGUAAGAAUAGGAAGAAUAAAUGACGGUACUAUUUAUAAGGUCCGGCUAACUACGUGCCAGCAGCCGCGGUAAUACGUAGGGACCAAGCGUUGUUCGGAUUUACUGGGCGUAAAGGGCGCAUAGGCGGUGUGUCAAGUCAGUUGUGAAAUCUCCGAGCUUAACUCGGAACGGUCAACUGAUACUGUCACACUAGAGUACAGAAGGGGCAAUCGGAAUUCUUGGUGUAGCGGUGAAAUGCGUAGAUAUCAAGAGGAACACCUGAGGCGAAGGCGGGUUGCUGGGCUGAUACUGACGCUGAGGCGCGAAAGCUAGGGUAGCAAACGGGAUUAGAUACCCAAGUAGUCCCUGAGCGGGCUGGCAAGGCGCAU